AACAACUCUCGGCAAUGGAUAUCUUGGCUCUCGCAUUGAUAAAGAACGUAGUGAAAUGCAAUACUUGGUGUGAAUUACAGAAUCCCUUGAACCAUCGAGUCUUUGAACGCAAGUUGCACCCGAACCCAAUAGGUUGGGGGCACGUCUAGCUGGGUGUCACACAAAG
This 166-nucleotide ribosomal RNA is filed under the name Afzelia africana. RNAcentral describes it as "5.8S ribosomal RNA". It matches the Rfam family "5.8S ribosomal RNA". From Rfam's summary of the family: 5.8S ribosomal RNA (5.8S rRNA) is a component of the large subunit of the eukaryotic ribosome. It is transcribed by RNA polymerase I as part of the 45S precursor that also contains 18S and 28S rRNA. The record is from RNAcentral. Lineage: Eukaryota; Viridiplantae; Streptophyta; Magnoliopsida; Fabales; Fabaceae.